GCCCAUUAUUCACGUUCACUGAAAAUUAUCAAAACCAGACUCUUUGACUUUUAACCAAAUAUAUUUAACAAUUUUAAAUACAUAUGUGUGCAAGUUUAAAAUUUGCAUUACGACCUUUUACGGACGUAAACACGUUCUAUCGUUUAUAUAUACGAACUAAGUUUUUUUCUCCAUUUUGAAUUUCAUUUUCAUAAUAUUUACGUUAACUUCUGACAUUUAGAUAUAGUAGAAUAUAUAUAAAAUAAUAUCUUAUUUGAGAGGUGUCAGAAUAUCAGAGGUGCGAGACGAAUGGAGGCUGAAACCAAACAAAAGUUUACUUUUGAAACACUAAAGUUUUGGUUGAACGUUGUGUACAUCUUUGAAGAUGGUAACGUUUACUAAACAAAAAUUCUACCAACAUUUUGCUUUACAAGAUAUCUUAAAGCUUGGGCAGCUCAUGAAAGUUCUAACAUCUCUCACGCUUUAUUCUAGUGAUAUUCUUUACUUAAGGAAAAAGGUUAAUAAGAUGGUACAAAGUCAAACGAUUGUUACUAGCAAAUGUUUCUAAAAUAUAUGCCUCCCUCUGUCUAGGAAGAACAAUUAACUAUAAUAUAUGCAUAGAUAUCUACCUUUACCAACAUUCCAACAACGUCCUUGUAUUAUCUUGUGGACUGUAUAAAUUGUUUUCUUUGGGGGGGUUUCAGAGUUCUGAUAUCGGUUUUCCGCUGACAAAGUUCCAUUUCAUUUGGUAGAAGCAAGACCACAAUUGAACCAUAGUGUGUACAUAAUUGAACCAUAGUGUGUACAUAGGCAUAUAGAAACAUAUGAAUGCGGAUUGUUUUUAUCUCAGCCGAUUAUCCCAUAUAUUUUUAAACGCUUUCAUAACCCAAGAGUUAAUUACGGAUUCCUAAACAGUUCUGUUACCAGAAUUUUUUUGCAAACCUUCGAAGCAGCUGAUACUGUAACGUUCGUGACGGCGGGAAUAAGAGUUUCAUUUUCAUGACCUAGUCAGUGCCAUAAAGCAAGUGUUACACCGUUAUAAAUAAAUUAAAUAUUUGCUUUUCACUGGUUAAACUUUUAAAUCAAGAACCAAACCUUGAUACUUGUGGCACGUGUUUUAUAUUCUCCAACAAAUACAACAAUUAUUCACAUUUAGUCUUUCAAUUGUGGAUUAAUCCUCGACAGGAGCGUACAGAUUUUUGUAACAUCACAUUAACCCGUCCCGUUUUAUUUGCAAUAACAGAUGACUUUGCAGUUUUUAGUAAACCAAAAUCAUGACAUGGCACAAAUAUACUCCUUUGCAAAUAGUCAGCUGAAGGUGUUAAUCUUUAUAACUUGCAUAUAAGCCAUUAAUUCAUUUUCUUAUUUUAUUUCUUCACUCAGAGAGAUAAACACAAAUGAAAAAUAGCUACGUAUUCUUGUGUUGUUCAAGUUAAGGCAGGAGCACAACUAAGGCAUUUUGUUGAUCGUAGGUAUAAUGCUUGCUUUCUUCAAUGUUCCACUAUGUCGCAAAAUGGUUGUUGAGUUUUUCCCCACAUAUACAGGAGAAGACAUACUAAGCAUUGUCAUGCACAAGGUCGUAAAAUAAGCUUUCAUGACUAAAAGUUGAAAGGCAUUAUCAGAUAGUGAUUCGUUGAAAAUAUUUCCUGAUGUUUUAUGUUUAUGAUAUUCCUUGCUUCAUACUGUUCGCCACCAUCGAUCUUCAUCCACGUUGCGGAAUGUUGGAUAAAGUGUUUUUUAAAUUUUUUUACAAAUAUGGAACUCAUUCAGUAUAUUUGUGUGUCUCACACAUAAACAUGCUUAGUAUCUGUUACAAGUUCGAAUGUAUCGUGUUCCCAUCUUCCAAUUAAAGUUUUCACAAAUUUGCAUAAAAACUUAGCGACUUUGAAAAAACGUUGUAUAUUUUUAUAUAAUGAAAUUAUUUUCCUAAAAGCAAACCUUUUUUAGCUGAAAACGUUUUUCUACUAUCAUUAGCCUCAGUCAAGAUAGAGUGUUUUCCUUUGAGAAUAUAUAGCAAAGAUCUGAAAAUCUCCGAUUAAAAUAAGAUUAAAUCUGAUACCCACAAUCAAUUUCAUAAAUAUUUUAGGUCACUUUUUUAGCCAAGUUUGCAUAAACUUUCUUGAAUUUUCUUGUAUAUCGUUGUAAUAAACAAUUUGACAUAAAUAGUUUACACCAUGUGACUGACACAAAGACUCUAGUGAA
Non-coding RNA from Paramuricea clavata, 2181 nucleotides. Lineage: Eukaryota; Metazoa; Cnidaria; Anthozoa; Malacalcyonacea; Plexauridae. The record is from the annotation of a GenBank genome assembly.